AUGGCGGCGGAGCACGACGGGACGGCCGACGGCAGGAGGAAGAAGACGGUCCGGUCGGAGGUCCUCGGCGUCUACCGGCUGCAGCGCGGCAUGUACCGGGCGCGGAUCUGGGACCCAUCGCGGCGCGCCAUGAAGAACCUCGGCGCCUUCGCCACCGCCCAGGAGGCCGCCAGGGCCUACGACGCCGCCGCCGUCGGGCUGCACGGCGCGGCCACGGCGCUCACCUACUUCCGCCAGCACACGGCUGCCGACGGCGACGGCGACGCGCCGCUCCUGCACGUCGACACGGACGCCAAGGCCGAUGCCGGGGACGCGCCGCUCCGGCACGUCUCCUGCGUGGGCGGCGAUGUCGGGGCCGAUGGCGACGGCGACGCGCCGCUCCGGCACUUCUCCUGCGUGGGCGAGGAUGUCGGGGCCGUGGAGUCGUGCCCAGGCCAUGAUGCGGCGGAGAGCGCCAAGGAGAGGAAGGCGCCGCUCAGGCCGGUCGCCCGGACCGUGUUCCGCCGCGUGCGCAGGAGGCCGAGCGGCAAGUGUGUGGCGAAGAUCAGGUGCCCAAAGGGGGGAGCUCGGAGGUACCUCGGCGGCUUCAGCACCGCCGAGGAGGCCGCCAGAGCCUACGCCGCGUCGGCGGUCAAGCUGCGCGGCGCGAUCGGCCUGAAGAAGGCGCGCGCGGCGGGGGAGGUCGGCUUCAAAGGUCAGGCCGGAAGGAAGGCGGCGGCGGCCGCUAAGUCGAGGUCGAGGUCGAGCUCGAGCUCUCUGCCGGUGUUCCGCGGCGUGCGCCAGACAGGGGGCGGCAAGAAGUACUCUGCGCGCAUCUGGGACCCGGCGCGGCGAGCGAAGCUGUUUCUCGGCGCCUUCGACACGGCCGAGGAGGCCGCCGGAGCGUACGACGCGGAGGCCGUCAGGCUGCGCGGCGCCAAGGCCAAAACCAACCUGAAGCAGCAGUCCAUGGCGAGGAAGAAGGCGGCGGCAAGGACGGACACCGGGACCGGGACCAAGUUCCGCGGCGUGCACCGGAAGCCCAGCGGCAAGUACGCGGCGCAGAUCAGGCACGCCGGUGAGAAUUCUCGGUGGCUCGGCCUCUUCGGCACCGCCGAGGACGCCGCCAGAGCGUACGACGCCGCGGCCGUCAAGCUGCAUGGCGUGAAGGCCAUCACCAACUUCAAGCAACCACCCAUGGCCGCCGCCGCAGCCGCUGUUGACGACGGCGAGGAGUCGCCCAUGGACCACAACGACGUCCCGGAGCUGCGUGGCGCGACGGCCAAAACAAACCUCAACCAGCCACCCGUGGUCGCCGGCUCUGGUGAUGACGGCGAGGAGUCGCGCAUGGACCUCGCCGACAGCGACUUCCCCGAGCAGCCGGCGCUCGACCUCUUCUCGGGCACCAUCACCGUAGACGCACAGCUCGACGAUGUGUUCGCCGACCUGCCACCGUUGGAUUUGCAGCAGGUGGACGAGCUCCUCAAGGACAUGGAAUUCGCCAAUAUGAUGGCUUGA
This 1497-nucleotide ribosomal RNA is filed under the name Triticum aestivum (bread wheat). RNAcentral's name for it is "partial small subunit ribosomal RNA". Lineage: Eukaryota; Viridiplantae; Streptophyta; Magnoliopsida; Poales; Poaceae. The record is from RNAcentral.